CGCUGGCGGCGUGCUUAACACAUGCAAGUCGAACGGGAUCCAUCAAGCUUGCUUGGUGGUGAGAGUGGCGAACGGGUGAGUAAUGCGUGACCGACCUGCCCCAUACACCGGAAUAGCUCCUGGAAACGGGUGGUAAUGCCGGAUGUUCCAGUUGAUCGCAUGGUCUUCUGGAAAGCUUUCGCGGUAUGGGAUGGGGUCGCGUCCUAUCAGCUUGACGGCGGGGUAACGGCCCACCGUGGCUUCGACGGUUAGCCGGCCUGAGAGGGCGACGGCCACAUUGGGACUGAGAUACGGCCCAGACUCCUACGGGAGGCAGCAGUGGGGAAUAUUGCACAAUGGGCGCAAGCCUGAUGCAGCGACGCCGCGUGAGGGAUGGAGGCCUUCGGGUUGUAAACCUCUUUUAUCGGGGAGCAAGCGUGAGUGAGUUUACCCGUUGAAUAAGCACCGGCUAACUACGUGCCAGCAGCCGCGG
Molecule: ribosomal RNA, 472 nt
Filed under: Bifidobacterium longum subsp. suis
Lineage: Bacteria; Bacillati; Actinomycetota; Actinomycetes; Bifidobacteriales; Bifidobacteriaceae
Description: bacterial SSU rRNA
Rfam family: Bacterial small subunit ribosomal RNA
Source: RNAcentral